GGAAGCGUGGGUGAGCCUGGUUUAAACCAACGGGUUGCUAACUCGUCGUAGAGGGAAACUUCUACCAUCCGUUCAAAUCGGAUCGCUUCCGCCA
Molecule: transfer RNA, 94 nt
Filed under: Candidatus Pelagibacter sp.
Lineage: Bacteria; Pseudomonadati; Pseudomonadota; Alphaproteobacteria; Candidatus Pelagibacterales; Candidatus Pelagibacteraceae
Also listed under: 1 other name
Description: tRNA-Ser
Rfam family: tRNA
About the family: Transfer RNA (tRNA) molecules are approximately 80 nucleotides in length. Their secondary structure includes four short double-helical elements and three loops (D, anti-codon, and T loops).
Source: RNAcentral